Molecule: long non-coding RNA, 283 nt
Organism: Gorilla gorilla gorilla (western lowland gorilla)
Lineage: Eukaryota; Metazoa; Chordata; Mammalia; Primates; Hominidae
Exons: 3
Source: RefSeq, a predicted model, not a curated record
UUCAGCCAGAGCACAAGGGAGAGAGAGACUGGUUCUGACCUUUGGGAGCAGAAGAGAUGAAAACAGAGAAUCCGUUUACGAGGAACAAAAUAUUCCGUUUCCAAAGGAUAGACGUGUUAUAUACAGAACAAUUUGAGAUUGUGUUCCUGUGACAGAGAAAGAGGAUAGCGGACACUGGUUGACUGCCCAACUUCCACUCCACCUUACUACAAAUGAUCAGAACAUAUCAAUCAUGAUAAUAUCAUUUCCUCUGCUAGCAACUAGGAGAGAUAUGGACCCAGUC